UGUGCCAAGCAGCCGCGGUAAUUCCAGCUCCAAUAGCGUAUAUUAAAGUUGUUGCGGUUAAAAAGCUCGUAGUUGGAUCUCGGCGGGCAGGGGGUGGUUCGCUCUUCAGCGCUACUGCCCCGCUUUGCCCGUGUGAUUGGCGGAGGUUUCGGGGUGCUCUUCGUUGAGUGACUCGGAGCGCCGUCAGGUUUACUUUGAAAAAAUUAGAGUGCUCAAAGCAGGCUUUUCACGCUUGAAUAUUCGUGCAUGGAAUAAUGGAAUAGGAACUCGUUUCUAUUUUGUUGGUUUUCGGAAAUCGAGUUAAUGAUUAACAGGGACAAUUGGGGGCAUUAGUAUUCAGACGACAGAGGUGAAAUUCUUGGACCGUCUGAAGACUGACUACUGCGAAAGCAUUUGCCAAGAGUGUUUUCAUUAAUCAAGAACGAAAGUUAGAGGUUCGAAGGCGAUCAGAUACCGCCCUAGUUCUAACCAUAAACGAUGCCAGCUAGCGAUCUGCCGAGUUUUUUUUGUAGGCUCCGCAGGAAGCUUUCGGGAAACCAAAGCUUUUGGGUUCCGGGGGAAGUAUGGUUGCAAAGCUGAAACUUAAAGGAAUUGACGGAAGGGCACCACCAGGAGUGGAGCCUGCGGCUUAAUUUGACUCAACACGGGAAAUCUCACCAGGCCCGGACACUGGAAGGAUUGACAGAUUGAGAGCUCUUUCUCGAUUCGGUGGGUGGUGGUGCAUGGCCGUUCUUAGUUGGUGGAGUGAUUUGUCUGGUUAAUUCCGAUAACGAACGAGACUCUGUCCUGCUAAAUAGUUGGGUCGUCCUUCGUGCGAUCCAAGUUCUUCUUAGAGGGACUGGCUGCGUCUAGCAGCACGAGAUUGAGCAAUAACAGGUCUGUGAUG
Molecule: ribosomal RNA, 886 nt
Filed under: uncultured eukaryote
Lineage: Eukaryota
Description: SSU rRNA
Rfam family: Eukaryotic small subunit ribosomal RNA
Source: RNAcentral